Long non-coding RNA from Ornithodoros turicata, 527 nucleotides. RefSeq lists it as uncharacterized. The record is from RefSeq and is a predicted model, not a curated record. NCBI's taxonomy places the organism in Eukaryota, Metazoa, Arthropoda, Arachnida, Ixodida, Argasidae. The transcript is spliced from 3 exons.
GUUACUGAACCUGUGACUUUUGUGGAAUGUGGUAGACAUGAUUGGUUUUCAUGUGUAUUACAGCUGCAGGCAGCUCGACAGGGUCAAGCGCAAGUGAAGGACCAGGUGCUGCUGAUCCAAGUCCCAUCCAUCCAUGAAACGGCAUCAAAAAAUGAUCUUCCAGAACAGUGCUUUCUUCACCCAAGUUCAAGAAGUAAAGAGAAUGACUUCAUGGCUUCUACUGACAUCUCACAGCUACAUGCCAAGACAAAAUAACUUGAAAGAAUGAAAAAAAAAGAAAAAAAGGUCAAUUUCAGGUCCACACAAAUCUUUGUGCAGAGGCUGACAACAACAACGUUAUUGUGAGAUGAUGCUGAUGCAGCGUUGAGAUUAAGCCCUUGUUUCCUUUUUUGCAAUGCUAUACAUUACUGCUGGUUAAAUGUAAAAUGAUGCACCUACCUCCAGACAUUAAAGGGUCUACCAGAGAUGUAGUGUCAAUUCAACAGAAAAGCUGCAUGUUCUACGAGGCACUGUCACAUAAGCAUUGG